RNAcentral lists this ribosomal RNA (397 nucleotides) under uncultured bacterium. RNAcentral describes it as "bacterial SSU rRNA". It matches the Rfam family "Bacterial small subunit ribosomal RNA", at positions 505 to 898 of the family's 1533-position model. The record is from RNAcentral.
GUGUCAGCAGCCGCGGUAACACGUAGGCACCAAGCGUUGUCCGGAUUUAUUGGGCGUAAAGAGCUCGUAGGCGGUUCGGUAAGUCGGGUGUGAAAACUCUGGGCUCAACCCAGAGCCGCCACCCGAUACUGCUGUGACUUGAGUUCGGUAGGGGAGCGGGGAAUUCCUGGUGUAGCGGUGAAAUGCGCAGAUAUCAGGAGGAACACCAGUGGCGAAGGCGCCGCUCUGGGCCGAGACUGACGCUGAGGAGCGAAAGCGUGGGUAGCAAACAGGAUUAGAUACCCUGGUAGUCCACGCCGUAAACGUUGGGCACUAGGUGUGGGUCUCAACCAACGAGAUCCGCGCCGUCGCUAACGCAUUAAGUGCCCCGCCUGGGGAGUACGGUCGCAAGACUAAA